Molecule: unclassified non-coding RNA, 352 nt
Filed under: soil metagenome
Description: partial contains 5.8S ribosomal RNA, internal transcribed spacer 2, and large subunit ribosomal RNA
Rfam family: 5.8S ribosomal RNA (bases 1-120)
Source: RNAcentral
GAUGAAGAACGUAGCGAAAUGCGAUAAGUAAUGUGAAUUGCAGAAUUCAGUGAAUCAUCGAAUCUUUGAACGCACAUUGCGCCCGCCAGUAUUCUGGCGGGCAUGCCUGUUCGAGCGUCAUUACAACCCUCAGGCCCCCGGGCCUGGCGUUGGGGAUCGGCGGAGCCCCCCGUGGGCACACGCCGUCCCCCAAAUGCAGUGGCGGUCCCGCCGCAGCUUCCAUCGCGUAGUAGCUAACACCUCGCGACUGGAGAGCGGCGCGGCCACGCCGUAAAACACCCAACUCUUCUGAAGUUGACCUCGAAUCAGGUAGGAAUACCCGCUGUACUUAAGCAUAUCAAUAAGCGGAGGA